Molecule: ribosomal RNA, 441 nt
Filed under: uncultured bacterium
Lineage: Bacteria
Description: bacterial SSU rRNA
Rfam family: Bacterial small subunit ribosomal RNA
Source: RNAcentral
GAGUUUGAUCAUGGCUCAGAUUGAACGCUGGCGGCAUGCUUUACACAUGCAAGUCGGACGGCAGCGGGGGCUUCGGCCUGCCGGCGAGUGGCGAACGGGUGAGUAAUACAUCGGAACGUGUCCUUAAGUGGGGAAUAACGCAUCGAAAGAUGUGCUAAUACCGCAUAUCUCUGAGGAGAAAAGCAGGGGAUCGCAAGACCUUGCGCUAAAGGAGCGGCCGAUGUCUGAUUAGCUAGUUGGUGGGGUAAAGGCUUACCAAGGCAACGAUCAGUAGUUGGUCUGAGAGGACGGCCAACCACACUGGGACUGAGACACGGCCCAGACUCCUACGGGAGGCAGCAGUGGGGAAUUUUGGACAAUGGGCGAAAGCCUGAUCCAGCCAUGCCGCGUGAGUGAAGAAGGCCUUCGGGUUGUAAAGCUCUUUUAGUCGGAAAGAAAGAG